RNAcentral lists this ribosomal RNA (236 nucleotides) under uncultured bacterium. RNAcentral describes it as "partial 16S ribosomal RNA". It matches the Rfam family "Bacterial small subunit ribosomal RNA", at positions 118 to 347 of the family's 1533-position model. The record is from RNAcentral.
UGAGCAAUCUGCCCUUCUCAUCGGAAUAAAGCGUUGGAAACGACGUCUAAUGCCGAAUACGACCUCCUUUCGCAUGAUCGGAGGUGGAAAGCUCCGGCGGAGAAGGAUGAGCUCGCGGCCUAUCAGCUAGUUGGUGUGGGUAAUGGCCCACCAAGGCGACGACGGGUAGCCGGCCUGAGAGGGUGACCGGCCACACGUGGGACUGAGACACGGCCCAGACCUCCGUACGGGAGCAG